CUACGGGUGGCUGCAGUGAGGAAUUUUGCGCAAUGGGGGAAACCCUGACGCAGCAACGCCGCGUGAGCGAAGAAGGCCCUCGGGUCGUAAAGCUCUGUCAAGUGGGAAAAAAGCCUUUUGAUUAAUACCCAAAAGGUUUGAUGGUACCACUGGAGGAAGCACCGGCUAACUCCGUGCCAGCAGCCGCGGUAAUACGGAGGGUGCAAGCGUUGUUCGGAAUUACUGGGCGUAAAGGGCGUGCAGGCGGUUUGGCAAGUCAGAUGUGAAAGCCCUGGGCUUAACCCGGGAAGUGCAUUUGAAACUGCCUUUCUUGAGUAUGGGAGAGGAGAGUGGAAUUCCCAGUGUAGAGGUGAAAUUCGUAGAUAUUGGGAGGAACACCCGUGGCGAAGGCGACUCUCUGGACCAAUACUGACGCUGAGACGCGAAAGCGUGGGGAGCAAACAGGAUUAGAUACCCUCGUAGUC
This 464-nucleotide ribosomal RNA is filed under the name uncultured bacterium. RNAcentral describes it as "partial 16S ribosomal RNA". It matches the Rfam family "Bacterial small subunit ribosomal RNA", at positions 339 to 795 of the family's 1533-position model. The record is from RNAcentral.